AGCCGGGUGGUGUAGCGGCCAAGCAUGGCGGGCUCUGGACCCGCCGACCCAGGUUCGAAUCCUGGCCCGGCUA
Molecule: transfer RNA, 73 nt
Filed under: Candidatus Geothermarchaeota archaeon ex4572_27
Lineage: Archaea; Thermoproteati; Candidatus Geothermarchaeota
Description: tRNA-Gln
Rfam family: tRNA
About the family: Transfer RNA (tRNA) molecules are approximately 80 nucleotides in length. Their secondary structure includes four short double-helical elements and three loops (D, anti-codon, and T loops).
Source: RNAcentral